Molecule: small nuclear RNA, 107 nt
Organism: Peromyscus maniculatus bairdii (prairie deer mouse)
Lineage: Eukaryota; Metazoa; Chordata; Mammalia; Rodentia; Cricetidae
Source: RefSeq, a predicted model, not a curated record
UUACUUUGAGAAAAAAGACUAGCUAACUGUGAACUUUAGCAAUAUAGAGAUUAGCAUGGCCCCUGCACAAUAAUGACAUGCAAAAUCGUGAAGUGUUCCAUAAUUUA